RNAcentral lists this unclassified non-coding RNA (498 nucleotides) under uncultured Glomus. Its description in RNAcentral is "SSU rRNA". It matches the Rfam family "Eukaryotic small subunit ribosomal RNA", at positions 591 to 1092 of the family's 1831-position model. The record is from RNAcentral. Lineage: Eukaryota; Fungi; Glomeromycota; Glomeromycetes; Glomerales; Glomeraceae.
CCAAUAGCGUAUAUUAAAGUUGUUGCAGUUAAAAAGCUCGUAGUUGAAUUUCGGGACCAAUCUGCCGGUCGUGCCUCUGGUACGCACUGGUUUUAUUGGUUUCUCCCUUCUGACGAACCAUAAUGUCAUUAAUUUGGUGUCAUGGGGAAUCAGGACUGUUACUUUGAAAAAAUUAGAGUGUUUAAAGCAGGCUCACGCUUGAAUACAUUAGCAUGGAAUAAUGAAAUAGGACGUUUGACCCUAUUUUGUUGGUUUCUAGGAUCGACGUAAUGAUUAAUAGGGAUAGUUGGGGGCAUUAGUAUUCAAUUGUCAGAGGUGAAAUUCUUGGAUUUAUUGAAGACUAACUACUGCGAAAGCAUUUGCCAAGGAUGUUUUCAUUAAUCAAGAACGAAAGUUAGGGGAUCGAAGACGAUCAGAUACCGUCGUAGUCUUAACCAUAAACUAUGCCGACUAGGGAUCGGAUGAUGUUAUUUUUAAUGACUCAUUCGGCGCCUUACG